GUGGGUGUUUUUCUAGUCGACACUGAAUAUUCAAAGCUGUGACUAGAUCUACACUCAUCA
RNAcentral lists this microRNA precursor (60 nucleotides) under Acyrthosiphon pisum (pea aphid). Lineage: Eukaryota; Metazoa; Arthropoda; Insecta; Hemiptera; Aphididae. The record is from RNAcentral.